CAAAAAUCGCUGAAAGAGAAAAGUACGUUUCAGUCCUUCCAAAAGAGAGAAACAUCCAUCGGCUGAAAGAUGUUUUAGGAAGAAGCGAAGCAGAACGCUACUCUGGAGUGCAGAAGGAAAAUCUGCCGUUAUGCCGCGUUAAGGCUUAAUCAAGGUGAUAUGCUUGUUUUAAAGCGUAUAACCAGGGUGGUACCGCGUGAAUUCAAACUCUCGUCCCUGUA
RNAcentral lists this non-coding RNA (221 nucleotides) under Fictibacillus phosphorivorans. RNAcentral's name for it is "T-box sequence". It matches the Rfam family "T-box leader". From Rfam's summary of the family: Uncharged tRNA acts as the effector for transcription antitermination of genes in the T-box leader family. T-boxes are found upstream of many aminoacyl-tRNA synthetase genes and some amino acid biosynthetic genes usually in Gram-positive bacteria. The anticodon of a specific tRNA base pairs to a specifier sequence within the T-box motif, and the NCCA acceptor tail of the tRNA base pairs to a conserved bulge in the T-box antiterminator hairpin. Lineage: Bacteria; Bacillati; Bacillota; Bacilli; Caryophanales; Fictibacillaceae. The record is from RNAcentral.